AGAGUUUGAUCAUGGCUCAGGACGAACGCUGGCGGCGUGCCUAACACAUGCAAGUCGAACGGGGAUUUUGUUUCGGCAGAAUCCUAGUGGCGAACGGGUGAGUAACGCGUAGGCAACCUGCCCCCCGGAUUGGGACAACACCCCGAAAGGGGUGCUAAUACCGGAUACGAAGAUAGCACCGCAUGGUGUUAUUUUGAAAGAUGGCCUCUAUUUAUAAGCUAUCGCCGGGGGAUGGGCCUGCGUCCGAUUAGCUGGUUGGUGGGGUAACGGCCUACCAAGGCGACGAUCGGUAGCCGGUCUGAGAGGAUGAACGGCCACAUUGGGACUGAGACACGGCCCAGACUCCUACGGGAGGCAGCAGUGGGGAAUCUUCCGCAAUGGGCGAAAGCCUGACGGAGCAACGCCGCGUGGGUGAGGAAGUUCUUCGGAACGUAAAGCCCUGUUGUACAUGACGAACGUGCUUUCUAUCAACAACGGGAAGCAAUGACGGUAGUGUACGAGGAAGCCACGGCUAACUACGUGCCAGCAGCCGCGGUAAUACGUAGGUGGCAAGCGUUGUCCGGAAUUAUUGGGCGUAAAGCGCAUGUAGGCGGUGCCUUAAGUCUGUCGUGAAACUGCGGGGCCUAACCCCGUAUGGCGAUGGAAACUGUGGCACUUGAGUGCAGGAGAGGAAAGGGGAACUCCCAGUGUAGCGGUGAAAUGCGUAGAUAUUGGGAAGAACACCGGUGGCGAASGCGYCUCUCUGGACUGUGUCUGACGCUGAGAUGCGAAAGCCAGGGUAGCGAACGGGAUUAGAUACCCCGGUAGUCCUGGCCGUAAACGAUGGGUACUAGGUGUGGGAGGUAUCGACCCCUUCCGUGCCGGAGUUAACGCAAUAAGUACCCCGCCUGGGGAGUACGGCCGCAAGGCUUAAACUCAAAGGAAUUGACGGGGGCCCGCACAAGCGGUGGAGUAUGUGGUUUAAUUCGAUGAUACGCGAGGAACCUUACCUGGACUCAAAUGCAGUCUGACGGGCGUAGAAAUAUGCCUUUCCUUCGGGACAGACUGCAAGGUGCUGCAUGGCUGUCGUCAGCUCGUGCCGUGAGGUGUCAGGUUAAGUCCUAUAACGAGCGCAACCCCUACGUCCAGUUGCCAGCGGGUAAAGCCGGGGACUCUGGAGGGACUGCCGGCGCAAGCCGAGAGGAAGGUGGGGAUGACGUCAAAUCAGCACGGCCCUUACGUCCAGGGCGACACACGUGCUACAAUGGCCGGUACAGAGGGCAGCCACCCCGCGAGGGGGAGCGAAUCUCGAAAGCCGGUCUCAGUUCGGAUCGGAGUCUGCAACUCGACUCCGUGAAGUUGGAUUCGCUAGUAAUCGCGCAUCAGCCAUGGCGCGGUGAAUACGUUCCCGGGCCUUGUACACACCGCCCGUCAAGCCAUGAAAGUCCGGGGUACCUGAAGUCCGUGACCGAGAGGAGCGGCCUAGGGUAAAACGGGUAAUUGGGGCUAAGUCGUAACAAGGUAGCCGUA
This 1509-nucleotide ribosomal RNA is filed under the name uncultured rumen bacterium. RNAcentral describes it as "bacterial SSU rRNA". It matches the Rfam family "Bacterial small subunit ribosomal RNA". The record is from RNAcentral.